Molecule: ribosomal RNA, 119 nt
Filed under: Lepisosteus oculatus (spotted gar)
Lineage: Eukaryota; Metazoa; Chordata; Actinopteri; Semionotiformes; Lepisosteidae
Source: RNAcentral
CCCAGCAGCUAUAUCACGCAGAAAUUAACAACUGGCAGCCCCACUGCAGCUCAGCAGGUGUGAGCCUGGCCAGUACCUGGAUGGGAGACCUCCUGGGAAAACUAAGGUUGCUGCUGGAA